GUUGUCGUGGCCAAGUGGUUAAGGCGAUGGACUAGAAGUAUUUUGGGAUCUUCCGGCGCAGGUUCGAAUCCUGCCGACAUCG
Molecule: transfer RNA, 82 nt
Filed under: Dreissena polymorpha
Lineage: Eukaryota; Metazoa; Mollusca; Bivalvia; Myida; Dreissenidae
Rfam family: tRNA
About the family: Transfer RNA (tRNA) molecules are approximately 80 nucleotides in length.
Source: Rfam by way of RNAcentral